This 336-nucleotide unclassified non-coding RNA is filed under the name soil metagenome. RNAcentral describes it as "partial contains 5.8S ribosomal RNA, internal transcribed spacer 2, and large subunit ribosomal RNA". The stretch from base 1 to 120 matches the Rfam family "5.8S ribosomal RNA", at positions 35 to 154 of the family's 154-position model. The record is from RNAcentral.
GAUGAAGAACGCAGCGAAAUGCGAUAAGUAAUGUGAAUUGAAGAAUUCAGUGAAUCAUCGAAUCUUUGAACGCACAUUGCGCCCGCCAGUAUUCUGGCGGGCAUGCCUGUUCGAGCGUCAUUUCAACCAUCAAGCCCCCGGCUUGUGUUGGGGACCUGCGGCUGCCGCAGGCCCUGAAAAGCAGUGGCGGGCUCGCUGUCACACCGAGCGUAGUAGCAUACAUCUCGCUCUGGGCGUGCUGCGGGUUCCGGCCGUUAAACCACCUUCAUAACCCAAGGUUGACCUCGGAUCAGGUAGGAAGACCCGCUGAACUUAAGCAUAUCAAUAAGCGGAGGA